AGAGUUUGAUCCUGGCUCAGGACGAACGCUGGCGGCGUGCUUAACACAUGCAAGUCGAACGGUGACGAGGAGCUUGCUCCUCUGAUCAGUGGCGAACGGGUGAGUAACACGUGAGCAACCUGCCCCAGACUCUGGGAUAACAGUUGGAAACAGCUGCUAAUACCGGAUACGAGACGGAGAGGCAUCUCUACCGUCUGGAAAGUUUUUCGGUCUGGGAUGGACUCGCGGCCUAUCAGCUAGUUGGUGAGGUAAUGGCUCACCAAGGCGACGACGGGUAGCCGGCCUGAGAGGGCGACCGGCCACACUGGGACUGAGACACGGCCCAGACUCCUACGGGAGGCAGCAGUGGGGAAUAUUGCACAAUGGGCGAAAGCCUGAUGCAGCGACGCCGCGUGAGGGAUGACGGCCUUCGGGUUGUAAACCUCUUUCAGCAGGGAAGAAGCGAAAGUGACGGUACCUGCAGAAGAAGCACCGGCUAACUAUGUGCCAGCAGCCGCGGUAAUACGUAGGGUGCGAGCGUUGUCCGGAAUUAUUGGGCGUAAAGAGCUUGUAGGCGGUUUGUCGCGUCUGCAGUGAAAAUCCGAGGCUCAACCUCGGACUUGCUGUGGGUACGGGCAGACUAGAGUAUGGUAGGGGAGACCGGAAUUCCUGGUGUAGCGGUGGAAUGCGCAGAUAUCAGGAGGAACACCGAUGGCGAAGGCAGGUCUCUGGGCCAUAACUGACGCUGAGAAGCGAAAGCAUGGGGAGCGAACAGGAUUAGAUACCCUGGUAGUCCAUGCCGUAAACGUUGGGCGCUAGGUGUGGGCUCAUUCCACGAGCUCCGUGCCGCAGCUAACGCAUUAAGCGCCCCGCCUGGGGAGUACGGCCGCAAGGCUAAAACUCAAAGGAAUUGACGGGGGCCCGCACAAGCGGCGGAGCAUGCGGAUUAAUUCGAUGCAACGCGAAGAACCUUACCAAGGCUUGACAUAUACCGGAAACAUCCAGAGAUGGGUGCCCCGCAAGGUCGGUAUACAGGUGGUGCAUGGUUGUCGUCAGCUCGUGUCGUGAGAUGUUGGGUUAAGUCCCGCAACGAGCGCAACCCUCGUUCUAUGUUGCCAGCGCGUAAUGGCGGGGACUCAUAGGAGACUGCCGGGGUCAACUCGGAGGAAGGUGGGGAUGACGUCAAAUCAUCACGCCCCUUAUGUCUUGGGCUUCACGCAUGCUACAAUGGCCGGUACAAAGGGCUGCGAUACCGCGAGGUGGAGCGAAUCCCAAAAAACCGGUCUCAGUUCGGAUUGGGGUCUGCAACUCGACCCCAUGAAGUCGGAGUCGCUAGUAAUCGCAGAUCAGCAACGCUGCGGUGAAUACGUUCCCGGGCCUUGUACACACCGCCCGUCAAGUCACGAAAGUCGGUAACACCCGAAGCCGGUGGCCCAACCCUUGUGGAGGGAGCCGUCGAAGGUGGGACUGGCGAUUGGGACUAAGUCG
This 1467-nucleotide ribosomal RNA is filed under the name metagenome. Its description in RNAcentral is "bacterial SSU rRNA". It matches the Rfam family "Bacterial small subunit ribosomal RNA". The record is from RNAcentral.